Molecule: long non-coding RNA, 4446 nt
Filed under: Phascolarctos cinereus (koala)
Lineage: Eukaryota; Metazoa; Chordata; Mammalia; Diprotodontia; Phascolarctidae
Description: lncRNA (ENSPCIG00000032243.1)
Source: RNAcentral
AUGGAGAAACUCCUCCAGAUGGUAGAAGGCAUGCAUAUAGACGAGAUGCCUUCCCACCAAAGGCUCCAGCCGGAGCCCCCCAGAGCUCAGAAGCGUCCCCUCUCACCACAGGCUGGCCUGAGCGCUCCCAAAAGGAAAGUUGUCCCUAGGUUGGUGGAAAAGCAGCCUGAGACUGUGCAAGGUGUAGAUGAGAGUAAGAAAGAGGAGAAAAAGAAAGAUGUUGCAGGCAUUGGAUUAGAGCGGGGAGCCUCACAAGCUCACUCUAUCAGAUGGCCGGUAGAAAGCAAAAAUAAAUACGUGCACAUCAGUUUGGGUGACCAAGAUGAGGGGUCUGAGUUUUCGCAAACAGGAUUAGCUUUAGCAGAGACCAAGGUUGCGGCAACUGAAAUGUUAUCAGAUACUGGGGACAGUGCUACAAGUAUCGUAUCUACUCAGUCUUCUGAAACAAAAUUAGCUUGUACAGAGAGCAUGCGUAAAGUAACUGCUGUAUUUUCAGGCAGUGUGGAUGCUGACACAGAUCGCUUGUCGCCUCAGUGUUCUGACAAAAGGUUUGCUUCCGUAGAGAACAAGCCUGUGGCAACUGAAGUCUUAGGAGAGAAUGUGGAAACUGAUACAAGGGCUGUUUCCACAGAGCGUGAGCUUGCGGGAAAGGGAAUGCUGUCAGAGAGCAUGGCUCCUGUCACAGGUAGCUCGGAUUCUAAGUGUCCUGACUCAGAAUUGGCUUCUACAGAGGGAAAGGCUACCGUAAAGAGUGUAGUCUUCCACCCUGGGUCUCCUGAUGCAAAUAUCUUGUCCUCUGAGCCUUCGGAAACUAGAAAUGUUUCCCCAGAGGACAAGGCUGUAUCAACCAAAAUGCUGUCAGAAAAGCUAUCUUCUACCUCAAGUGUUUUGUCUUCCCAGUGUUCUGAAACUGAGAUAAAGGCUGCAGUAACUGAUGUGUUGUCAGAGAAAGUGCCUGCAGCCCCAAAUGUACCAUCUGAUGAGUGUUUGGAAACUAGAAGUGUUUCCCCAGAGAGGGAGCCUCUAGUAACCAGAAUAUUGUCAGAGACAGUGUCUUCAGACACCUCCAAUGUCUCGUCUGUCGAGUGUUGUGAAACUAAAUGUAUUUCCUCAGAAAACAAAUCUGUGGUGACAGGAAUGUUAUCAGAGACAGUGUCUCCCGACCCAAAUGUCUCAUCUACUGAGGGUUCGGAGACUAGAUGUCCCUCCCCUGAGAGCAAGCCUGGAGUAAGUGGCAUGCUCUCAGAGGCAGCAUCUCCAACUUCAAGUAUUUUGGCCUCAGAGGAUUCGGAGACUACAUGUGUCUCCCCUGAGAGCAAGCCCUUAGCAAGUGGCACACUCUCAGAGGCAGUAUCUCCAACCUCGAGCAUCUUGGCCUCUGAGGAUUCGGAGACUACAUGUGCCUCGCCUGAGAGCAAGCCUAUAGUAGGUGAAACGCUCUCAGAGACAGUGGCUGCAGUCCCAGAUGUUGUGACUGCUGAAUGUUCUAAGGCUAAAUGCAUUCCCUCUGAGAGCAAGCCUAAAGUAGGUGAAACGCUCUCAGAGACAGUGGCUCUACCUCCCGAUGUCUCGUCAGCUGAAUGUUCUGAGGCUAGAUGCCUCUCCCCUGAGACCAAGCCACUAGUAACUGGAACGGUCUCAGAGACGGCGGCUCUAGCCCCAGAUGUCUCGUCUGUUGAAUGUUCAGAGACCACAUGUGUUCCUCCAGACAUCAAACCAGUCGUCACCAGAAUCAUCCCGGACAGACUCUCUCCACCCAUAAGCAUCUCAUCCACUGAGUACUCUGAUACCGGAUAUGCCUCCCCAGAGAGGAAGCCUAUAGUAAGUGCACUCUUCUCGGGGAGACUAUCUCCACCAAUAAGCAUCUCGUCUACUGAGUAUUCCGAGGGCAGCUGUGCUUCCCCGGAGAGCAAGCCUGGAGUAACAGGCAUGUUCUCAGAGAUACUAUCUCCAGCUAUAAGUAUCUCCUCCUCCGAGUCUUGGGAAGCUGGCUAUUUUUGCACAGACAGAAAGCCCAUAGUCACUGACAUGUUCUGUGACAGACUGUCUCCGGACACAAGUAUGUCAUCCUCUGAAGGUUCGGAGACUGGCUAUGCUUCACCAGAAAGGAAGCCCAUAGUAAGUGGAAUAUUCUCAGGGAGACACUCACCAACCAUCAUUGUCUUGUCCUCUGAGUGUUCAGAGACUAGCAGCGCUUCCCCAGAGAGGAAGCCUGUAGUAACUGGAAUGUUCUCAGGGAGACUGUCACCAACCACAAUUGUCUUGUCCUCUGAAUGUUCUGAGAAUAGUAGUUUUUUUCCAGAAACCAAACCUAUAGUAACAGAAAUGUUUUCUGAAAGGCUGUCUCCAGACAUGAGUAGCUUUUCUUCAGAGAAUUCAGAGAUUAGCUAUGCUUCUCCAGAAAGGAAGCCUAUAAUAAGUGGGCUAUUCUCAGGGAGAUUAUCAUCACCCAUCAGCAUCUCAUCUACCGAAUAUUCUGAUCCUGAAUGCGCUUCCCCAGAAAGGAAGCCUAUAGUAAGUGGACUCUUCCCAAGGAGGUCAUCUUCACCCAUUAGCAUUUCAUCAACUGAGUAUUCUGAUAUGGGAGGUCCCGCUUCCCCCGAAAGGAAGCCUAUAAUAAGUGAAUUGUUAGAAAGAGUGCGUGCAGCCCCCCAUGUGUUGUCUUCCCAGUGUUCGGAUGUCAGAUGUGAUUCCCCGGGAAGUAAACCUGGAGUAGGAGGAGUGUUCUCCGAGACUCUGUUUUCAGCCACGAACAUCUUGGCUUCUGAGGAUUCAGAGUCUCGGUGCGCUUCCCCAGAGAACAAGGCCACAGGAAGUGGCAUGUUCUCAGAAACAGGGUCUCCAACCCCCGAUGUGUUGUCUACUGAAUGUUUAGAUACUAGAUGUGUAUCCCCCGAAAGCAAACCCGUAGAAGGAGGAAUGUUUUCUGAGACUCUGUUUUCAGCCACAGGCAUCUUGGCCUCUGAGGGUUCAGAGUCUAGAUGCACUUCGCCGGAGAACAAGGCCACAGUAAGUGGCAUGUUCUCAGAGACACUGUUUUCCGCCCCAAGCAUCUUGGCCUCUGAGGGUUCAGCGGCUAGAUGCGUUUCACCAGAGAACAAGCCAGUAGUCACUGGCAUGUUCUCAGAGACACUAUCACCACCUACAAAUAUUUUUUCCUCUGAAAGUUCGGACACUCGAUGCAUUUCACCGGAGAACAAGCCAGUAGUAACUGGCAUGUUCUCAGAGACACUAUCACCACCUACAAAUAUCUUUUCCUCUGAAAGUUCGGACACUCGAUGCGUUUCCCCGGAGAACAAGCCAGUAAUAACUGGCUUGUUCUCAGAGAGACUAUCUCCACCCAUCAGCAUAUCAUCCACUGAAUAUUCCGAGACUGGAAAUGCUUCCCCAGAAAGGAAGCCAGUAAUAACAGGAAUAUCCACAGACAGACUCUCACCACCCAUCAGCAUUUCAUCCACUGAAUAUUCUGACACUGAAUGUGCUUCCCCAGAAAGGAAGCCUGUAGUUCCUGGACUGUUUUCAGAGGGACCAUCUCCAUCCACAAGUGUUGUCCAUUCUUUGUGUUCUGAAACAAAACUUGCUUCAAUAGACAGCAAGUCUUCAGUAACUGGACUAUUACCAGAAAGCAUGUUUCCAUCUACAAGUUUCUUUACCUCUCAAUGUUCUGACACCAGAUCUACCUCCCCCGAAAGCAAACCUCUAGUAGCCAGACUGUUCCCAGACAGCAUAUCUCCAGCCACAAGCCUCUUGCCAUCUCAGUAUUUUGAGAACACAUGUGAUUCUACAGAAACCAAGGCUGCAGAGACUGGAGGACUGUCUGCAUCCACAAGUCUCUUCUCUUCUCAGAGUUCUGAGACAAGAUUUGCCUCCACUGAGAGGCUGCCUGCUGUAACCAGACUAUUAUCAGAGCUUGUGGAUCCUGCCACGCUUAACCUGGCUUCUCAGUGUUCUGGCAUAAGGUUUGCUUCCAAAGAGAACAAUCCUGAAGCAUCUGAACUGUCCCCAGAAAGACUGUCUCCUGCGACAGGCUUUGUGUGCCUUCCAUCUUCUGAGACAAGAGCUGCUUCCAGAGAGAACGAUCCUGAAGUAUCUGGAGCGUUCUCUGAAAGAUUAUCUCCUACAACAGGUAUUGUGUCCUUUCUAUGUUUUGAGACAAUACUUGCUUCCACAGGGAGCAAGCCUGUAGUAUUCAGAAUGUUCUCAGAAAGUAUAUCUCCUGCCACAGGUUUCGUGUACCCUCCAUGUUCUGCUUCAACAGAAAGUGAUCCUGCAGUAUCUGGCGAGUUCUCGGAAAGAGUGUCUCCCACAACAGGGACAAGAGCUUCAACAGAAAGUGAUCCUGCAGUACCUGGAGUGAGAUCUGAAAGACUGUCUCCCACAAAAGGUAUUGUGUCUUCUCUAUGUUUUGAAAUAAUACUUGCUUCUACAGAGAGUAAGCCUAUAUAG